RNAcentral lists this long non-coding RNA (2311 nucleotides) under Gossypium barbadense (sea-island cotton). Its description in RNAcentral is "long non-coding RNA (GBAR_LNC008247)". The record is from RNAcentral. Lineage: Eukaryota; Viridiplantae; Streptophyta; Magnoliopsida; Malvales; Malvaceae.
GGGACUAGAUUGAAAAUCGAAUGGAAUGUAACGGUGCAAAAGUCGAAAUAAAGUAAAAUAGGGGACCAUAUUGCAAUGCGCGAAUGAAAUGGAGGGACCAAAAGGAAAAUAUCCCCACCAUCCAAAACGUUGCACUUUACGCGGGACUAAAUUGAAAACCAAAAUAAAUUAUAAGGCGCAAAUUAAAAAUAAAAAGAAACUUAAUUACUAACUAAUUAAAAUGUAGAAGGGCUGAAAGUGCAAUUAGCCCUUACGCUAAAAAGCACGUGGACCUUGGCUAAGCAGGUCGGGUCUUGGGUCGUCCUCCCUUAAACGACACUGUUUUGGCACUUAAAUGGCCAAAAUGAAACGGCGUCGUUUCACCCUAUUAUAAAAGCCAAAUUUCUUUUAAAAAAUAUUUCAUUUCUACUCUUCUUGAAGAAAAAAAUAAAAACCAACCCUCUUAAAUCCUCUCUCCUCUUCAAACUCCGGCCUAGGGAUCCAGUGAAUUCCACGACGGCCCCGGUCGUCGGCGACGGACUCCACAAUCUCCGGUGGUCGAAGAACACCCGAAAGACUCCGUUUUAGCUUUUCCAUUCUUUUUAAAUCCUGAUCUAAGGGCCAAAAAUCCUCCAAAAUCAAAAAAGGAAAAGAAAAUACUAAAGAAAAAAAAAGGCCUUGUUACCAUUGAUGAACCCUUGUCAGAACCCUAGCGGGUUCUUAGGUGUUCAAAGAUCGAAGAAAGUCUCCGACGACGGUAGAAGAUGAAGCAACAGGUAACGUUUUAUUUUUAUUUUUAUUUAUUAUUAUCUAUUUUAAACCGAAACCAAAAAAAUAAAAAAGGAGUUACCUUUGUUUAAUUUUUUUCUCUUUUUUGAUUGUUCUUUUUUUUGUAAUUGAUGCUGUCCAAAAAAUUACAUCGAGGGUUCUUGCUUUUUAUAGCCAUUUGUACAUAUUAUUUUUUAUGUUUCUAUCUUUGUCUUUCCACUGUUUCUGUUCUUUUCUUUCGUCAUUUUUGCAGGUCCAGCGCUCGGUUAACGGAAGGGAGCAGGUGGCCUCUUUGCCUCUUUGGUGAAACGUCAGCAGAAAAGAUGUCAGGCCUCGGGAUGAAACGCGUGGGGCUGAUUAGGGUUUUGAUUUUAUUGAAAUUUAGUUUAGUUUUGGGCCAAUGGGCUGCGUAGGGUUUUUUGUAAAUUGGGCUUGUAUUUUGUUAUUAUUUGGGUCUGUAAUUUUGGCCUGAACUGUUUACAAAUUUGUUUUAUUUUGAGUUUUAUUUAUUUGGUUUUGUUGAUUUUGGGCUUGGACAAAUUGGGCCUAUUACACUACAGUUAGGAACCAUAUCCAAUAUAUAUUUUCCUAACUCAACCACCUUGAUCAAAAUAUCAUCCCAAAGUUUUAACAAGGUUUUUUUUCUAUAAAAAAAAAUGAAAAGAAAACAAAACAUACUCCUUAUCUGUCAUUUCAACAUAAGACGAUGCAAUUCAAUAAUGCUAUUCAUUUUUGCUUGCAUUCUACUCUAAAAAGAAGAGAUAACAAGAAAAAGAAAAUUAAGGAUAUGCAGUCUAAUCACAUUAUUUACAAUAAUAACCCCUACUGAUUUUUUUAAAGUAAACUUGGAAUUUAGUACAUUGUCUUCAAUAUCAAAAUUAUGAGUGAAGCAUAAUGGAUAUCACUUCCGGUCAAAAUUACUAGAAUAAAACACAACAUAUAUAUAUUAUCAUUUACUUACUCAAGGCCUAUCAUAACUUAAAUAUCACGCAUUAACCCAUUUAAAUGUAUCUAUAUAAUUAAACAUGCUAAAUUUAAGAUUUAUCAAUUCCACUUGCCAACAAAAUAUCAAAAUAAGUGGAAAUAUCUACUCUUCCACUUCAAUUUACAAACUUGUCUAUCUCCUUGCUUAUAAUAAUCUCCCUCUCAACUACUUCUUUAGCACGUAUAUAACAUACCUAUUUAUUAACGGUGAUAAAUAGCCACUAAUAUGGCUUAACUACUUAACAAGUUUUUAUAACCUUAAAAGCAUGCAUGAAUAAGAAAAAUGUGGCGUAUGCUCUUACCUCUUCUAAGCCUUGUUCACUCCAACAAAAUUUCCCGCAUAGAAAUACAAACUCUAGAUAGUGGAUGAUGGAAAUGGUCAAGAGAAUGCUUCAAAUGGAGUGUUUUUAGGGUGAGUUUCAAGAGAAGAGGAUGAACUAUGGUGAAGUACUGAAUAGAUUGAAGAGGAAAAAAAAAAAAAAAGGAAGGAAUAUGGCUUUCUUCUCUUGCUCUCUAAGGGUGUCGACCCUAUCAAGGAAAAUAGGGUACACAACCCCUUUCCUUGGCUUUUAUGAAUUUA